AGAGAGAGACAUGCGCGCAUAUCAAUAAGCGGAGGAAAAGAAACUGACAAGGAUUCCCCUAGUAACGGCGAGUGAAGCGGGAAGAGCUCAAAUUUGAAAUCUUAAAGGGUUUCCCUUUACGAAUUGUAGUUUAAAGAAGUGUUUUCUGUUGAGGUUUAGGUAAAAGUUCUUUGGAAUAGGACAUCAUAGAGGGUGAGAAUCCCGUAUUUGACCUUUACUUUCAACUUUGUGAUACACUUUCAAAGAGUCGGAUUGUUUGGGAAUGCAGUCCAAAAUGGGUGGUAAAUUUCAUCUAAAGCUAAAUAUUGGCGAGAGACCGAUAGCGAACAAGUACCGUGAGGGAAAGAUGAAAAGAACUUUGAAAAGAGAGUUAAACAGUACGUGAAAUUGUCAAAAGGGAAGCGUUUGACACCAGUGUUGUUUUUCUGAAAAUCAAUUAAAGAACUGUUUAUGCUAAGUUGUUUAGACUUUAUCAGCUAACUGUUUAGUUUUGAGCUUUUCUUUAAUGCACUUUUCAGUUAACAAGUCAACAUCAAUUUCUUUUGCUGUAAAAAAGCUUGAGGAAGGUGGCUUGAGAUUCGUCUUAAGUGUUUAUAGCCUCUUGCCUAUGCAGUCGGAGAGAUUGAGGUCUGCAGCGUAGAUCCUUCGGGGCUAAAUGCAUUUGUGCUAAGUUAUAGCAUUUUAUAGACAACUUGUUGACUAUGAUUUGUCUUGUAGCUUACUCGCUUAUGUUAUUUUACCUACGCUUAGGAUGUUGAGCGCAUGUCUCUUCU
This 773-nucleotide ribosomal RNA is filed under the name uncultured Neocallimastigales. Its description in RNAcentral is "partial large subunit ribosomal RNA". It matches the Rfam family "Eukaryotic large subunit ribosomal RNA", at positions 23 to 617 of the family's 3401-position model. The record is from RNAcentral. Lineage: Eukaryota; Fungi; Neocallimastigomycota; Neocallimastigomycetes; Neocallimastigales.